CCCGCUGAACUUAAGCAUAUCAAUAAGCGGAGGAAAAGAAACUAACAAGGAUUCCCUUAGUAACUGCGAGUGAAGUGGGAAAAGCUCAAAUUUAGAAUCUGGCAGUCACUUGGCUGUCCGAGUUGUAAUCUAGAGAAGUGUUGCCCGUGCUGGACCAUGUACAAGUCUCCUGGAAUGGAGCAUCACAGAGGGUGAGAAUCCUGUCUUUGACAUGGACUGCCAGUGCUUUUGUGGUACGCUCUCAAAGAGUCGAGUUGUUUGGGAAUGCAGCUCAAAAUGGGUGGUAAAUGCCAUCUAAAGCUAAAUAUUGGCGAGAGACCGAUAGUGAACAAGUACCGUGAGGGAAAGAUGAAAAGAACUUUGGAAAGAGAGUUAAACAGUACGUGAAAUUGCUGAAAGGGAAACGCUUGAAGUCAGUCACGUUGACUUGGAAUCAGCUCUGCUUUUGCUGGGUGUACUUUCUUGUCAAUGGGUCAGCAUCAAUUUUGACCAUUGGAUAAAGUUGCUGGGAAUGUAGCAUCCUUUUGGAUGUGUUAUAGCCUGGUGAUGCAUACAGUGGUUGGGAUUGAGGAAUUCAGCACGCCACCAGGCCGGGUUUUUGAACCACGUACGUGCUUAGGAUGCUGGCAAUAUGGCUUUAAUCGACCCGUCUUGAAACACGG
RNAcentral lists this ribosomal RNA (662 nucleotides) under uncultured fungus. RNAcentral describes it as "eukaryotic LSU rRNA". It matches the Rfam family "Eukaryotic large subunit ribosomal RNA", at positions 24 to 664 of the family's 3401-position model. Lineage: Eukaryota; Fungi. The record is from RNAcentral.